AGAAAUCGUUAAGGGCGUAUGGCGGAUGCCUAGGCUUUCAGAGGCGAAGAAGGACGUGGUAAGCUGCGAAAAGCUGCGGGGAUUGGCACACACGAAUUGAUCCGCAGAUGUCCGAAUGGGGCAACCCGGCAUAUUGAAGAUAUGUCACCCAGCAAUGGGAGCAAACCCGGAGAACUGAAACAUCUAAGUACCCGGAGGAAAAGAAAUCGAAGAGAUUCCGUAAGUAGUGGCGAGCGAAAGCGGAUUAGCCCAAAAGCUUUUAUAUGUUUAAUAGAAUACACUGGAAAGUGUAGCCAUAGAGGGUGAUAGCCCCGUAUAUGAAAGGCAUACAUAAGUGAUAAAUGAGUAGGGCGGGACACGUGAAAUCCUGUCUGAAUAUGGGGGGACCAUCCUCCAAGGCUAAAUACUCCUGAAAGACCGAUAGUGAACAAGUACUGUGAAGGAAAGGUGAAAAGCACUUCGAAUAGAAGGGUGAAAUAGAACCUGAAACCGUACGCCUACAAGCGGUCGGAGCAGCUAUAUGCUGUGACGGCGUGCCUUUUGCAUAAUGAGCCUACGAGUUAAUCUUACUAGCGAGGUUAAGGACUUAAGGUCCGGAGCCGUAGCGAAAGCGAGUCUGAAUAGGGCGCUUAGUUAGUGGGAUUAGACGCGAAACCUUGUGAUCUACCCAUGGGCAGGUUGAAGCUUUGGUAACACAAAGUGGAGGACCGAACCGGUUGACGUUGAAAAGUCUUCGGAUGACCUGUGGGUAGGGGUGAAAGGCCAAUCAAACUGGGAGAUAGCUCGUACUCCCCGAAAUGCAUUUAGGUGCAGCGUCGAUAUAGUUUAUUAGAGGUAGAGCUACUGAUUGGAUGCGGGGGUUUCAUCGCCUACCAAUUCCUGACAAACUCCGAAUGCUAAUAAAUGAUUGUCGGCAGUGAGGGCAUGGGUGCUAAGGUCCAUGUCCGAGAGGGAAAGAACCCAGACCAACAGCUAAGGUCCCUAAAUAUAUGCUAAGUUGAAAGAACGCGGUUGGACUGCAUUGACAGCUAGGAUGUUGGCUUGGAAGCAGCCAUUCAUUUAAAGAGUGCGUAACAGCUCACUAGUCGAGCGGUCCGGCAUGGAUAAUAAUCGGGCAUAAGCAUAUUACCGAAGCUAUGGCAGUAUUAAAUACUGGGUAGGGGAGCAUUCUAUUUGCGCCGAAGCAGUACUGUGAGGUAUUGUGGAGCGGAUAGAAAAGAAAAUGUAGGCAUAAGUAACGAUAAAGGGGGCGAGAAACCCCCUCACCGAAAGACUAAGGUUUCCUCAGCCAUGCUAAUCAGCUGAGGGUUAGUCGGGGCCUAACGCGAAGCCGACAGGCGUAGUGGAUGGACAACGGGUUAAUA
Molecule: ribosomal RNA, 1364 nt
Filed under: Elizabethkingia miricola
Lineage: Bacteria; Pseudomonadati; Bacteroidota; Flavobacteriia; Flavobacteriales; Weeksellaceae
Description: bacterial LSU rRNA
Rfam family: Bacterial large subunit ribosomal RNA
Source: RNAcentral